UACGGGGGGGCGAGCGUUAUUCGGAAUUACUGGGCGUAAAGCGCACGUAGGCGGCGACGUAAGUCGUGUGUGAAAUCCAACGGCGCAACCGUGGAACGGCAUUUGAAACUGCGUGGCUUGAGUCCGGGAGAGGAUGGCGGAAUUUCCGGUGUAGAGGUGAAAUUCGUAGAUAUUGGGAGGAACACCGGUGGCGAAGGCGGCCAUCUGGACGGUGACUGACGCUGAGACGCGAAAGCGUGGGGAGCAAACAGG
This 252-nucleotide ribosomal RNA is filed under the name uncultured bacterium. Its description in RNAcentral is "partial 16S ribosomal RNA". It matches the Rfam family "Bacterial small subunit ribosomal RNA", at positions 524 to 776 of the family's 1533-position model. The record is from RNAcentral.